Molecule: ribosomal RNA, 253 nt
Filed under: uncultured bacterium
Lineage: Bacteria
Description: partial 16S ribosomal RNA
Rfam family: Bacterial small subunit ribosomal RNA
Source: RNAcentral
UACGGAGGGUGCAAACGUUGCUCGGAAUUAUUGGGCGUAAAGCGCACGUAGGCGGCUCGACAAGUCGGGUGUGAAAUCCCUCGGCUCAACCGAGGAAGUGCAUUCGAAACUGGCGAGCUAGAGUACUGAAGAGGGUCGCGGAAUUCCCGGUGUAGAGGUGAAAUUCGUAGAUAUCGGGAGGAACACCAGUGGCGAAGGCGGCGACCUGGGCAGAUACUGACGCUGAGGUGCGAAAGCGUGGGGAGCAAACAGG